This 4784-nucleotide long non-coding RNA is filed under the name Musa acuminata (dwarf banana). RNAcentral describes it as "long non-coding RNA (MACU_LNC008790)". The record is from RNAcentral. Lineage: Eukaryota; Viridiplantae; Streptophyta; Magnoliopsida; Zingiberales; Musaceae.
UCCUUUCUUUCAUUCCCGAACUCCCUACUAAGGUCUGCUACUAGUGGAAUGAUGCUUAGUUUACAUAACACCCGCACCACUGAUCUCGAGUUCAAUAGAAAACAACUUGAAGCUUUUGAGCCUAGUUUAGCUAAUCAAAUACUAGAUAAUAGAAUCGAAAAUAACUUCAAAUACGAAUAUCAAUAUCUGACGAUAAAACACAUCCUACAUAUAAUGAGAAAUAUAAGUAAAUGGAAACCAUAUGAGAAAUAGAAGUCAAUAAAUUGCACCAACCAAAGAAUAAGAGACAGGAACGAUAGGCCUUAAGACAGGAGAGGAGCGACAGGUUCCAAGGGAAAUUCCAGAACUCCACUAAGCAAUAGAAGAGACAACCAGACAAGCAACGGCUGACGCGCUUAACUCCACUCCUGGUGUUCUAGAGUUAUGAGCAAGUCAAGGUGCUAGGAGCCUUCUGGUAUAUGUAUCAUUUCCAUGAGGUAUUUUCUACUUCGCCCUAGGAUCUUUUAUGCAGUGAUUGAUUGAGAAAAGCAUAUCUCUAGGUACCUUAAUCAGAGCAAGUCUGUAGCUUUGAAGCAGGAAUCUGCCGGUACCCCUUGAAUGAGCAGUGGCAUUCCUUUAGCAAGUAAUCCCGUCGAUCUGUCUAGUUUAACUAAGCCUCAUCUCUUUACUUAACUCCGCGAUGGAAUAGGUUGUUCCAGGCUUUAUUCCGUUUCGCCAAGCUCGUCCAAGCAAUAAGUCCGAGGCAUAUGCCAGAACAGGUUUCACGAAUGAAUGCCCAGUUGGUAGUUAGAAGGAAUCCCAACAAAUAAGCAGCCCUUGGCGAAUAUACUCUUCCAUGGAUUUUUCCAUUUCCGUCGUUGGGGCCUAGAGACGAUACAAUCUUGUCUUUCCUAAGCUUGAAUGAAUGUGGCGAAAAGCAAGGGACUGCAGGAAAGAAGAGAAUGAAUCGGAAGAUAGUUCCUCUGCUCUGUACUGGAAUGAGUCUGAGUGAUAAUAAGGUCUUUGCGGCGAAGACGGAUUAAUAGAUAUUCUCUUGACAGAAUAGAAUUCCACUGUCCGAGAAAGCAAGCAAGAGUUUGUUUGAUGAGAUCCCGAAUCUACUGCCUAAGUAAAGUACGGAGCAGGAAAGGGUUGUUGGGUCUAUACUCUUAUAUAUAUAUAUAUGAUUCUAUAUGAUACAUGCGCAGCUAGGAGAGCCCAGAUUAUGGACUUGAAGACGGAAGCGCUAACGCCCUUUUACAGCUACCCUUGGGCAUACUGAGAGGACUGAUAGCAAGGGACGAUAAGCAGGCCAAAGUAGCAAGAAAGAGCAUUUUCAGGAGCAGCUUUCGUUUUACUGACCUAUGGGUUUUCGAUUGAUACCUCGACACUUUCUCUCUUAAGUCAGGCGAGAUGUUAUUAAUACAUGGUUUUUCAUCAGCGGAUGUCACUAUUUAAAGGGAUCUGCACUUAUGGUCUUUGAAAGGGGGCGGCUCAAUACAGAAUGAUAUGAUCCUAUUCUAGGCUUGCUUUCUCAUAGCACGAUGGUUUUUAGCGAGUAAGGGUACGGGAUCAAAAUACUAGAAGUGGUUGGAGUGAACCAACCGUCGAUGCCAUAUGGUGGGGCUUUUUCGAGCAGCAACCAGCCAGAGCGGAGACUGAUUCAUAAAUGACGGGUAUUGUUUGAUCUCCUCAUGAAAUGCAGGCAUGAAGACGUUUUCAAUCCACCGUUGAAAAAAGAUAAGCCUGUUCGUUCCCUUUUGGAAUAAGGUAAGCUCCGCCUUAAUUGACUCCUUCCUUUGGAAUGUGGUGUGCUUUCUGCAUACUGGUCUAUCUUAGCAGGGGGAAUGGGAUGGGAAGCUAUAUGGGCGAGAUGGUUGGAGGUAAGCAAAAGUGGAAUGACGGGGAGGCCUGGAAAGCUAGGUAGGGUUUGGGACGAACUGUGGGCUAAAGCAAUAUUCCAUAUGGGUUUCAAUGGCGAGAGCUGAGAUGACGAUGAUGUUUGUGAAGAAGCAGACCUUAUGGUGCCUAAGAAUCCAAGACCAUAUAACCCAGCCGUCGUGAUUGAUCCGGUUAACGGAGGAGCAGGAAAAGCGCCUAAUAAUGGGGCAGAGGUAGUGUCUUUCUAUCUUGUGGCUGAACGAAGACGUCGCUAGUUACUAUCUCGAUUUUUCAUAUAUAUAUUUAUAGAAAUCACUAUUUACUGGACUCUUUCACUAUGGACUUCUAUCUUUCUAGCAAUAACUAUAUGGACUUCUAUCUUUCUAGCAAUAACUAUUGACUUACUUUACUGGGCAGAUUUCUAGAAGGACCAGAUGGAAAGGUUAGUUAGUAUAAGACAGAAUACUAGUGGACUUGCUUGCCAGCGCUUGGAUUCUUUCACUCUAAGAGCUGAUUGAAGGAAGACAUCCGAUUCGAUGGCUUUAAACCCAAGCGUGCUACAGGAUUCAAGCGAAAUGGCGUUUUCUUUCCUUGUCGGGGGCUUACUUUAUAGAGAAAGGAAUAACUAGAUAGCUGACUAGACCGGAGACUGAAAGACUUAGAUGGCACUGAAAAUGGCAUAUUUGUGCUUUGGAAACAAAAGACCGAGCAUUUCGAGACACUAACUUCGCUCGCCUUGUUGAGCUAAUCGAGAUAGGGGCACUUUCUCCAAGCAAAGGAUCUUACAGGCAAGGGGCACUUGAGGACGAGAACUUCUUGGCCGGAUACUGGGUUUCUGUAUAUGUCAAUCGAUAAGCUUUGUCCUAAGGAACUGACAACCUGCACAAACUUGUACUUAUAACCGAGGAAGUGCUUUCACCAAUGACUUGUCCAUCAUCAGCUCGAGUUUAUCGCUUGUAUACCGCAUGAAAUGGGCUUUACCUCUUCUGGUUUGCAUGAAAUGGGCUUUACCUCUUUUUGCUUAGGUCCCAUGUCUGGUUCUGUUUCUCCUUUAGUGCUAAGAUCUUUUCUGGUUCUGUUUCUCCUUGACUUUAGUGCUAAGAGAUUUCCUCAUUCAUGGCCUUUUGCCAGAAUUAUGAAUGGCAAGAAGUGUUGCCAGCGUAUCCAAUUGGAGAGUGUAACACUCCCGGAUGUGCUCCAGCAGUUCCUUCUUGACUGUUGUUUUCAGCACUUUGACUUGUUCAUAACUCGAAUCUUGUGUUAUCACUGAGUCUUGCCCGAACUCACAUACUAAAGCCUAUAGUAGCUAACUCCAGUAAGCGUAAGCACAAGGGCCAGGCCAACACUCACAAAACCCGAGCCGAGUUGCUCUUCUUGAAAAGAAUGAAGCUAUUAUUAAGGAAAAGAAUGAAGCUAUUAUUAAGAAAUCAUUAAGCUAUUAUUAAGUAUAGAAUCUUUUGUAAAAACACACUCACUCUGGAACUCCACUCGUUAAAGGAAGGGCUUCUGGCUGGGGAUAUACCUUGACCUGUUGUUUCCGCUGUUCCCUUACUUGCUGUUACUGAUGGUAAUCUACCUGUAAGUAUAAGCCAAAGAUUGCUCAAGUGGAAAGAAAGAGAGGAUGGUGGCUUAGAAGAAAGAAGAAGAGAUAUCGAUCGGAUAACGGCAUCCAGAGAUCGAGCAUAUGCCAUAUAGUGGCCUUGAAGGGUUUGAAACGGAUGAUGUGUAAGUACGAUGGCGGCGUUGAUAGAUGAAGAAAGCAGAUGGAGAUGAGCAAGCACAGAUGUUCUAUUGCACAGAUGUUCUAUUGAGUUUUCCUUCUUUCUAUGGCAAUGCGUAUGGCAAUGCGUGUUAUUAAGCAAGCUAGCUUACUCCGUCCAAUGCUAGGAGAGAGGGUUUAAAGGGGGGGUCAGCUCUCAGGGUAGCCACUAAGGUAUCAAGCUUGUUCUUUAAAGAGGUUUUACAGGCGAAAAGACCCAUAUGGUUACACACGGGAGAGAAUCUGUUAAAUAGCAGUUUACUUAGGGGAAAGCGGGAGUAGACAAAGGAACCUUGAUUGGAGGGUUUAAGAGCUCGGUAGUAAGGUAUAGCUUUUGGUUAAGAAGGAGCUGCCCUUUGAGUUUUAGGGGGGAGAAGGCUAAAUGAAAGGCUCGACCGUAUAACAAGAAAAAGGUACCUCCAGCCGCAAGUAUCCCACCGGUCUGGAUCAUAGUAUAAUUCGAUUUAGGAUGGGCUAUCAUCAAGCGAGUCCAGGUAUGGUUGCACCUAUGCGCUAUUGGCUAGAAAGGGUUUGCUCCUUAAUGCACGGAUCAAUGACUGCUAUUGCAAUUGAUGGCUUAGCCCAGUGGUUCCAUUAACCCUAAACGUUACCCUGCCUUAGAAGAAAUUCAAGGAACAGGUUCUAUAGGGCAUAUAAAGACGCUGAUCUAUAUCUCCCUUACAAGUUCCAUAGUCAGAGCAUCACAUUAUUAGUAUGGCAGUAGAUUCCCGAUCCGCAUUGAAUCUAUUAGCAUCCACUCCCAGCUGGCCCGCCUCACUCACAGCAGGAUGAGCUAACUAUCCGGAGGGACAUAAGUCGUAGAGAUCAAAGUAGGACUGACACUAUAUGACUCAAAACUAGCAUUUCAAGUAGAUCCCUAUUCCGCAGUGCUUUCUUUCACAGAAUCAAAGGAUUGGCCAUUUGUGCCUUUAUUUGGAAAAGAACGUCGGCUGGAAAGGGCUUAGGAUAAGAAGCAAGAAGGAAUCCCACCCUAGGAGCAACGCUUAUGACUCCAAUACCAGGUAGUCUUGCUAGCCUUCCCGGAGAGCUAACUUACAUCAGAGGCUGGAUCGCUCGAGAGCUAACUUACAUCAGAGGCUGGAUCGCUCACUGGGGAAGAUCUUUCCAGAUAGGGCAUUAUCAAAUCGAUUAGCAUUCCAUUCCA